Non-coding RNA from Nomia melanderi (Alkali bee), 1929 nucleotides. The record is from RefSeq and is a predicted model, not a curated record. NCBI's taxonomy places the organism in Eukaryota, Metazoa, Arthropoda, Insecta, Hymenoptera, Halictidae.
CAACCGCAGCAUAAAGAGACACUGAGUCGAGUGAAGGCAAUCGCCUUCUGAGGUGUCACUUUCUCGAACAUAACGCAAGGACCGUUGAAGAGGGCAGUAGAAUAUUUCGAAUCAACGAAACGAUUCCGUUGCUCUAAUUAAAUUUAUUAUAGAAAUGACGUCGUCGGAACAGUAAGCGAAACUGGUUCAGGCAAAGUCAAGGAACCAUUAGCCAACGGAGGAUGAUUUUGAUGAACUGUGCAUUGUACAAAUGAGCAGCGAAGAAGAAACUUUGCUCCAAGUGAAUCGAUAAACAGACGAGUGUCUAGUGAAUGUGACUAUUAAGCAAAUAACAUGGAGCCAGUAUCAGUAAUCAACCACGUAUGUAUUCGAGGUGUAGACGGCCGAAUUAAUAUGUGAUGUUGUCGGUGUAUAGAUAGCCUAAGAUUCUCCUUCUUGCUAUUGCUGGCGUGCACGCUCAGAAUCUUUAGCCACAAAGGCUCCCCCGAGCAAUUCUAGGUAUUAAGGAAAGGCGAACGCAGCUAUAGUUUAUCGCGUAUGAGAUUUAUUUGUGAAACAAACAAACGCGAUAUGUUCAAGUAACCUUUGCAAUGACAUAUACAAGCUGACUUCAGUAAAUAAGACGGCAUAUGGGUGUGUUAUAAGUGACAAUGGCAAGAAAAUGAUGGUGAUAGGCGAAUUUUAUGAUGCUCAUAGAUGUGCCUAAUGUAUUAUUGAAAUUACAUCAUGCAAUACUUCGAACACAGAGAAUCCUACUGCGGUGAGAAGAAAUUCAUUUGAAGAGAAGGAAACUACUAUUAAUCAAUUACCGCAACAUGUAUGUACUGUUAUUUGCUCUGGUUGGCAGUAUAUCGUCACUGUCAACAAGUACUGCUCUCAAAGCGGUCAAUAAGGAGAAUGCGCACGAAACGAACUGAAAUGUCAUAAAGAACAUCCAAAAUACUCCAGAUUAAGGGUUGGUACGAAGCAUUUCAAGCUGAUGGUUACGGGUUUUUGUGGCAUCAUAAUGCGAAGUACCGCUUUCUGCAUUCCUAGUCCUUGUUCAUACCAUGUUGUUUCGUACGCACCUCGAGUAACUUUCUCACUCUGAUCGUUACAAAAAUUGUAUGUAUAUUAUAUUGAUUAAUGUAAUUAAUAUAUUAUACCAAAUAGAACAGAACAUGUGAGAAGUAUAAUAAAUCAUAUGAAAACACUAUCAUUGUUUUGUUACAUUACAAAAUGAAUAUCUCCGUUUCUUGAAUUUAUAAUUUAAACUUGAAUAUAAUUUUAAUUCGUUACUCACCAUCUCCAUCAAAUGAUCGGCCGGUAUCGCCCACAUGAGGACCACCAACAACGAAGUACCAACAAGGAAUAUCAGUUGCAUGUACACUAUGAUCAUUUGUUGCUGUUCGUCAAGAAACGUUUCACAUUAUUCUAUGCUGAUAGGUACUACAGUAACAAACUAUUUGAUGAGAAAAGAAACUGUACCUACCCCAAUUAAAUUGUAACCGCAGAAUACAAUGAUUACGCUGUUAAUAAGUAUCGUAGCAAAAGCUACAUACUGAACACCGCUGACCACUUGCCAGAAGCUUUUAAAUUCGAAGCACAAGCCGAUAAAAGAAUGUUCGAAUCUUGGAGGUCCGAUUGGAGGCAAUUUCAUUAAAUGUCCACGAGAAAAUGACGCGUAAGCCAGAAAAGAUUAAAACGAAAUAAAUGUAACGAAUAACAAUAGAAAGAAAAACAGGUGCUAAUCGUACAUUUUUAUUCCUCAAAACUACUUUGCAACGCCGAGUACAGGAGCAAUAUAGCUCCAAACAUGUUCGCACUAACGGAUGAGGAACACUGGAAGCCGACAGCAGAUUGAUGCAGAAAAAUAAUAAUCUUCACGGGCAUGUAAUCGAUCGGGAACGGAUAUUCGGAGACCGUCGGAAACGUUUGUGUCGAUUGAAG